RNAcentral lists this unclassified non-coding RNA (183 nucleotides) under uncultured Peziza. RNAcentral's name for it is "sequence contains ITS2". Lineage: Eukaryota; Fungi; Ascomycota; Pezizomycetes; Pezizales; Pezizaceae. The record is from RNAcentral.
CCCCCCAAUUAAGUAUCUGAUUUUCUGAUGCCUGGAAUGCUUUGGAGAGGUGUCUAUGUUAUAGAGCCGCCCUCCAGAAAUUAAUAGGCAGUAUGGUUUGCACCUGAACCAGACGUAAUAAUAAAAUCGUUUGUUUGGGUAUAACUGUGCUUGUCUUAACCCACCCAUUUUUUUUUUUUCUUU